Molecule: ribosomal RNA, 468 nt
Filed under: Selenomonas sputigena
Lineage: Bacteria; Bacillati; Bacillota; Negativicutes; Selenomonadales; Selenomonadaceae
Description: bacterial SSU rRNA
Rfam family: Bacterial small subunit ribosomal RNA
Source: RNAcentral
GACGAACGCUGGCGGCGUGCUUAACACAUGCAAGUCGAACGGGAACCUUUAUUUCGGUAAAGGUGAGAGUGGCAAACGGGUGAGUAACACGUAGGCAACCUGCCGACAGGAUGGGGACAACAUUCCGAAAGGAAUGCUAAUACCGAAUGAAGUCACCGGAGGGCAUCCUCUGGUGAUGAAAGAUGGCCUCUGAAUAUGCUAUCGCCUGUCGAUGGGCCUGCGUCUGAUUAGCCAGUUGGCGGGGUAACGGCCCACCAAAGCGACGAUCAGUAGCCGGUCUGAGAGGAUGAACGGCCACAUUGGGACUGAGACACGGCCCAGACUCCUACGGGAGGCAGCAGUGGGGAAUCUUCCACAAUGGGCGAAAGCCUGAUGGAGCAACGCCGCGUGAGUGAAGAAGGUCUUCGGAUCGCAAAGCUCUGUUGCACGGGACGAAAACCGAGCUUGAAAACAUUGAGUUUGGGGACG